AGUGAACGCUGGCGGUAGGCCUAACACAUGCAAGUCGAACGGCAGCACAGUAAGAGCUUGCUCUUACGGGUGGCGAGUGGCGGACGGGUGAGGAAUACAUCGGAAUCUACUUUUUCGUGGGGGAUAACGUAGGGAAACUUACGCUAAUACCGCAUACGACCUACGGGUUAAAGCAGGGGAUCUUCGGACCUUGCGCGAUUGAAUGAGCCGAUGUCGGAUUAGCUAGUUGGCGGGGUAAAGGCCCACCAAGGCGACGAUCCGUAGCUGGUCUGAGAGGAUGAUCAGCCACACUGGAACUGAGACACGGUCCAGACUCCUACGGGAGGCAGCAGUGGGGAAUAUUGGACAAUGGGCGCAAGCCUGAUCCAGCCAUACCGCGUGGGUGAAGAAGGCCUUCGGGUUGUAAAGCCCUUUUGUUGGGAAAGAAAAGCAGCAGGUUAAUACCCCGCUGUUCUGACGGUACCAAAAGAAUAAGCACCGGCUAACUUCGUG
This 492-nucleotide ribosomal RNA is filed under the name uncultured bacterium. RNAcentral describes it as "partial 16S ribosomal RNA". It matches the Rfam family "Bacterial small subunit ribosomal RNA", at positions 29 to 507 of the family's 1533-position model. The record is from RNAcentral.